This 704-nucleotide ribosomal RNA is filed under the name uncultured bacterium. RNAcentral's name for it is "bacterial SSU rRNA". It matches the Rfam family "Bacterial small subunit ribosomal RNA", at positions 8 to 701 of the family's 1533-position model. The record is from RNAcentral.
AGAGUUUGAUCAUGGCUCAGAGUGAACGCUGGCGGCAGGCCUAACACAUGCAAGUCGAACGGCAGCACAGCCGGGGCAACCCGGUGGGUGGCGAGUGGCGGACGGGUGAGGAAUACAUGGGAAUCUGCCCUGUCGUGGGGGAUAACGUAGGGAAACUUACGCUAAUACCGCAUACGACCGGAAGGUGAAAGCGGCGGACCGCAAGGCGUCGCGCGACUGGAUGAGCCCAUGUCGGAUUAGCUAGUUGGCGGGGUAAAGGCCCACCAAGGCGACGAUCCGUAGCUGGUCUGAGAGGAUGAUCAGCCACACUGGAACUGAGACACGGUCCAGACUCCUACGGGAGGCAGCAGUGGGGAAUAUUGGACAAUGGGCGCAAGCCUGAUCCAGCCAUGCCGCGUGAGUGAAGAAGGCCUUCGGGUUGUAAAGCUCUUUUGUCCGGAAAGAAAAGCCUUCGGUUAAUACCCGGGGGUGAUGACGGUACCGGAAGAAUAAGCACCGGCUAACUUCGUGCCAGCAGCCGCGGUAAUACGAAGGGUGCAAGCGUUACUCGGAAUUACUGGGCGUAAAGCGUGCGUAGGUGGUUCGUUAAGUCUGAUGUGAAAGCCCUGGGCUCAACCUGGGAAUGGCAUUGGAAACUGGCGACCUAGAGUGCGGUAGAGGGUAGUGGAAUUCCCGGUGUAGCAGUGAAAUGCGUAGAGAUCGGG